RNAcentral lists this transfer RNA (74 nucleotides) under Escherichia coli. Its description in RNAcentral is "tRNA-Phe". The stretch from base 5 to 70 matches the Rfam family "tRNA". Rfam says of the family: Transfer RNA (tRNA) molecules are approximately 80 nucleotides in length. Their secondary structure includes four short double-helical elements and three loops (D, anti-codon, and T loops). Further hydrogen bonds mediate the characteristic L-shaped molecular structure. tRNAs have two regions of fundamental functional importance: the anti-codon, which is responsible for specific mRNA codon recognition, and the 3' end, to which the tRNAs corresponding amino acid is attached (by aminoacyl-tRNA synthetases). tRNAs cope with the degeneracy of the genetic code in two manners: having more than one tRNA (with a specific anti-codon) for a particular amino acid; and 'wobble' base-pairing, i.e. permitting non-standard base-pairing at the 3rd anti-codon position. The record is from RNAcentral. Lineage: Bacteria; Pseudomonadati; Pseudomonadota; Gammaproteobacteria; Enterobacterales; Enterobacteriaceae.
GCCCGGAUAGCUCAGUCGGUAGAGCAGGGGAUUGAAAAUCCCCGUGUCCUUGGUUCGAUUCCGAGAUCCGCUCA